UACGGCGAGUGAAGCGGCAACAGCUCAAAUUUGAAAUCUGGCCCUCUUGGGGCCCGAGUUGUAAUUUGUAGAGAGUGCUUCGGGUGAGACCGCGUGUCUAAGUCCAUUGGAACAUGGCGUCWUAGAGGGUGAGAAUCCCGUAUGCGAUCGUGGCUCGAGCCCGUGUGAAGCCUCUUCGACGAGUCGAGUUGUUUGGGAAUGCAGCUCAUAAUGGGUGGUAAAUUUCAUCUAAAGCUAAAUACUGGCUGGAGACCGAUNGCGCACAAGUAGAGUGAUCGAAAGAUGAAAAGCACUUUGGAAAGAGAGUCAAAAAGUACKUGAAAUUGUUGAAAGGGAAGCGCUUGCAACCAGACCUGCCCGUAKGCGAUCAGCCGCUGUUCUCAGUGGUGCACUCGCUCUGCGAUCAGGCCAGCAYCGGUAUUGGCGGUGGGAUAAAGGCCUUGGGAAUGUAGCUCCUCUYCGGGGGAGUCUUAUAGCCCUCGGUGCAAUGCKGCCAGCCCAGACCGAGCGACCGCGCUYCGGCUAGUGAUGCUAGCGUAAUGGUUGUAAGCGACCCGUCUUGAAACACGGACCAUGGAGUCUAACAUCGAUNCGAGUGUUUGGGUGUCAAACCCAUGCGCGAAAUGAAAGUGAACGGAUGUGAGAACCCUUAACGGCGCANCANCGACCGAUCCAKAUGUCUUCGGAUNGAUUUGAGUAUGAGCAUCGCUCUUGGGACCCGAAAGAUGGUGAACUAUGCCUGAAUAGGGUGAAGCCAGAGKAAACUCUGGUGGAGGCUCGCANCGSUUCUAACGUGCAAAUCGAUCGUCAAUUUGGGUAUAGGGNCNAAAGACUAA
RNAcentral lists this ribosomal RNA (836 nucleotides) under Myelochroa hayachinensis. Its description in RNAcentral is "partial 28S ribosomal RNA". It matches the Rfam family "Eukaryotic large subunit ribosomal RNA", at positions 85 to 934 of the family's 3401-position model. Lineage: Eukaryota; Fungi; Ascomycota; Lecanoromycetes; Lecanorales; Parmeliaceae. The record is from RNAcentral.